UUACCUGUGCUUUCGGUGGGCGGUAGUUAGCAGGGCCCUGACCUGUUGAGCUUUUUAACUUGUGGGUGCUCAAUAACGACUCUUUCUCACCCGACUGUCCGGAGUAAAUUUUAAACCGGGUAGAGGCACUUUCCGUUUAUUUAAUCGACUGCUUUCUGAAAAGAAACAGGUAGAAUGCCCUUAAAUGACUCCUGUUGGGAUGAGGAGAGCCCGGUAACAGAAUACCAAGCGAUCGGGCCGUCUCUGCUUUGUCCUGACCGGAGUUGGGGGAUGGCGUCUUGUCUUGUCUUAUGCUGUCAAGUCGUCUCCGAGGGCGCGCGCCGCUCCCUCCACCCGGUCCCCAUCCCCUCUGAGGCGGCCGCGCUUAGUCCAGUGCUCUGCACACAACUGCGAGCCCACUGUCGGGGAGGGACCGUCUCUAGAU
Molecule: long non-coding RNA, 424 nt
Organism: Tachyglossus aculeatus (Australian echidna)
Lineage: Eukaryota; Metazoa; Chordata; Mammalia; Monotremata; Tachyglossidae
Exons: 3
Source: RefSeq, a predicted model, not a curated record